UGGUCAUUACUAAGGCUUUUAGAAUGCAGUUUCUCAUUUGCUGUGGACAUGACCAUAAAAAAUUCCCAUUAGGUUUUCUAUCAGCUACUUUGCUAACAGUCAACCUAUCGGGAACAUUU
Molecule: small nucleolar RNA, 119 nt
Organism: Ictidomys tridecemlineatus (thirteen-lined ground squirrel)
Lineage: Eukaryota; Metazoa; Chordata; Mammalia; Rodentia; Sciuridae
Source: Ensembl